RNAcentral lists this ribosomal RNA (692 nucleotides) under uncultured bacterium. RNAcentral's name for it is "bacterial SSU rRNA". It matches the Rfam family "Bacterial small subunit ribosomal RNA", at positions 620 to 1315 of the family's 1533-position model. The record is from RNAcentral.
ACUGCCAUUGAUACUGAUAGCCUUGAGUUUGGUUAAGGUAGGCGGAAUGUGUAAUGUAGCGGUGAAAUGCUUAGAUAUUACACAGAACACCAAUUGCGUAGGCAGCUUACUGAGCCGACACUGACGCUGAGGCACGAAAGCGUGGGGAUCGAACAGGAUUAGAUACCCUGGUAGUCCACGCCGUAAACGAUGAUUACUCGCUGUUGGCGAUACACUGUCAGCGGCUAAGCAAAAGCAAUAAGUAAUCCACCUGGGGAGUACGGCCGCAAGGUUGAAACUCAAAGGAAUUGACGGGGGCCCGCACAAGCGGAGGAACAUGUGGUUUAAUUCGAUGAUACGCGAGGAACCUUACCUGGGCUUAAAUGUAGAGUGCAUUUUCUAGAGAUAGGAAUUCCCUUCGGGGCUUUCUGCAAGGUGCUGCAUGGUUGUCGUCAGCUCGUGCCGUGAGGUGUCGGGUUAAGUCCCAUAACGAGCGCAACCCUUAUCGUUAGUUGCCAUCUGGUAAAGCAGGGGACUCUAGCGAAACUGCCACCGUAAGUGAGAGGAAGUGGGGAUGACGUCAAAUCAGCACGGCCCUUAUGUCCAGGGCUACACACGUGUUACAAUGGUUCGGUACAGAGGGCAGCUACCUGGUGACAGGAUGCUAAUCUUCGAAAACCGGUCUCAGUUCGGAUCGAAGUUCUGCAACUCGA